RNAcentral lists this small nuclear RNA (18 nucleotides) under Arabidopsis thaliana (thale cress). RNAcentral describes it as "snRNA_15512". The record is from RNAcentral. Lineage: Eukaryota; Viridiplantae; Streptophyta; Magnoliopsida; Brassicales; Brassicaceae.
UGGUGAACUAUGCCUGAG